Oreochromis niloticus (Nile tilapia) is the source of this 1626-nucleotide long non-coding RNA. RefSeq lists it as uncharacterized. The record is from RefSeq and is a predicted model, not a curated record. NCBI's taxonomy places the organism in Eukaryota, Metazoa, Chordata, Actinopteri, Cichliformes, Cichlidae. The transcript has 3 exons.
UGCAGGUGAUCGUUGUGUCUAUGAGAUAAUCAGAAGAUCUGAAAACUCUGACAAUGGUCCAGCAGAAGAUGUUUACGCCAAUGUCGCGUCUGUGAUUCAGCUCAAAGUCAUUAACAAGACAAGGCAACGUGGUGACGCAGAGGAGAGCUCUGACUACAAUAAUGUCAAUCUGUCAGGGUGCUGGGUCGUUGACCAAAGAUUCUGAGGUUAUUUUGCUUUUGUGAGUCUCUCUGUGAAAGUGUGAAGAUGGUCUAAGUUUAAGUUUAUACAGUUUAACCAGGAGUUUAGUUCUUUCUAUGUUUCUGAGUUUUCUUGUAUUUCCAGUUUAUGGUUUAUUGUCUGUGAGGUUCCACUUGUGUGUUUGUCUCAUCCCUGUGUUGCUUGUGAGAGUCUGUCGUGUCAUCCAUGUUUAUGCUCACUCGCCCUCUGUGUGUCUUAGUAGUGUCAGUGUGUUUUGUCUCCUUCUGUUUCAUCUUUUGUCUCCCUGUUUGUUUAUCCCCGUUUCUGCAUCAAGCUCGUGUGUUCAUGUACUUCCUGUUUUAUUUUGACAGUAUUUCAUCCCGUGUUCAGUGUGUUUGGUUUGGCUUCCCUGUCUCGUUACAUUCGAUUCAUCAGAGCUGUUUUCCAAUGUGUUUCCACUUCACUGAUCAUCUCUCAAUCCUUCAAAGGUGUGUCGAGGUAUUCCCAGUGUUCCACGUUUUCUGUUAGUUUAAGUUUGAGCUUUCCCAGUUUAGUUUUUUUUUUCUCAGUCAGUUCUUUGUUUAUUUUUGGAUAACCUGAUUUGGUUCAUGUUUGUUUCCAGCCCUGAAAAACGUUUUUUGUUAAAAUUUUGAUUUUGCCUCUCGUUGUCUGCAUUUGGGUCCUUACAAAGAGCCACACAGUCUGCAGCUACAGAUUGUGACAAAAUCCAAAUUUAGUCACAGCUCUAAAAUCUUAACAGCAGCUCUUUAGCUGUUUUUCCUCUUUAAAGUCUCUUAAAUACUUGAAGUCACUUUGAGUGAAAAGGAGAAGAUUUUGAAUUCGAAGCAAUGAUCCUGAUGCCUGAGUUUAUAUUUCCUUCAGAAAGAAUCACUCAGUGUGUUUCACUUGUUUCUCUCCCAUUAGAUAAUAAUUUUUAUUUACUUUAAUAUACUGUAGAUCUUUUUAUCUUUUUAAUUAUUUAUUUUAUUUUAAUAUAUUAUAAAGUCUUUCUGUGAAGCACUUUGUAACUUUGCCAAUGAAAGUGUGAUAUAAAUAAAGUGUGUUGUUGUUGUGUGUCAGACUGAGAGUACAUGUUACAGCUGUUCAGUGUUGUGCAUGAAUCCACUGAAGGAGAGCUUUCAUUUAAAGGCACUCAUUGUCAUUUAAAACAGCUUACAACCCUCCAACAUGAACUAAAGCUGUCAACAUAAUGGGAAGUAACAACUGCUCUGACGUUAUGCUCAGCAGCCUUUUUACUGUGUAGCAGAGUUUUCCCAGUUUUCUCAGGAGGUCCGGCUCAUACUUUCAUGUAAUACCGAUUUAUUUUGACAGUGUCAGUCACAUGUUCAGCAAGACCAUGAUAACUCUGUGCAUGACACAUGAAUCUUAAUUUUCUAUUUUAUGUAUUUUUAUUCCACUGUAAUGUCUUUAUUAUCUGUUCAAUAA